This 494-nucleotide ribosomal RNA is filed under the name uncultured bacterium. RNAcentral describes it as "bacterial SSU rRNA". It matches the Rfam family "Bacterial small subunit ribosomal RNA", at positions 28 to 532 of the family's 1533-position model. The record is from RNAcentral.
GACGAACGCUGGCGGCGCGCUUAACACAUGCAAGUCGUGCGGUGUCGAAGGCAAGUCUUACGACAAGCCUUCGACACAGCGGCGAACGGGUGAGUAACACGUGAGUAGCUGUCCUAAGGAGGGGGAUAACGCCUGGAAACGGGUGCUAACACCCCAUAUGCCUCGCAAGAGGUGAAAGUGUACUUGCUACAGCCUUAGGGUGUGCUCGCGGCCUAUCAGCUAGUUGGUGAGGUAACGGCUCACCAAGGCCAAGACGGGUAGCCGGCCUGAGAGGGUGUACGGCCACACUGGAAUUGAGAUACGGUCCAGACUCCUACGGGAGGCAGCAGUGGGGAAUCUUGGGCAAUGGGCGAAAGCCUGACCCAGCGACGCCGCGUUGGGGAUGAAGCCCUUCGGGGCGUAAACCCAGUGUUGUAGGGGACGAAGAAAGUGACGGUACCUACGAGAAAGCCCCGGCAACUACGUGCCAGCAGCCGCGGUAAUAGUACUCUAAU